Long non-coding RNA from Cervus elaphus (red deer), 3034 nucleotides. RefSeq lists it as uncharacterized. NCBI's taxonomy places the organism in Eukaryota, Metazoa, Chordata, Mammalia, Artiodactyla, Cervidae. The record is from RefSeq and is a predicted model, not a curated record. The transcript is spliced from 2 exons.
CCCAAAGGCUGGGAGGACGCCCCUCCGGAUGGCGCAGCCUGCCACACGCCCCACGCCUGACACACACACUAAUGUUGUGAGCACCGCUCUCCUUUCCGAUGGCUGUUUUUGUAAAACAGGAACUUGGCUAAAGAGGAACCUCUCUGGACAACUGGGGUGGCAUUGCUCGGGAGGCAGCUAGAGGAUGGGUUGUCCAGAGCAUUGAGGUCCCAGGGGGGCACCCUGAACCCCUGUGCUGAGACCCUGACAGUGCGCCACCUGCCUGCCGAGGGUUUCAAAUGCCUUAAGGCCUCGGCUUUCCAAAGGGCGCGCUAGGACGCCCGCAGGCUGGAAGCCCCGACGCAGGAAGACGGGACCACGUAGCAGCUGGCAGCCGCCUUCCUGCGAUCCCACCCGCUGGGGGGCCCUGCGCCAGCCAGCCCCGGUUCUCGCUUUUCUUUGGGGCCCUCUGGGCCGCUGGCUCUUGGAAACUGCUCCGUCAGUUCACUCUGAGUUAAAAGAAAUCGCCCCAGGCGUGGGAGGCCUCGCGGCCCCUGCCGGCAAGAAGCUCCCCUCCGGGUGCGGACCCCGCGGCGUUCCUCUCCCGCGGGAGCUGCGCGGCGCGUCUUCCCGCGAAUGGAGCGCCGCAAACCCGGGAGCGCGGACUCGGAGGAGGCGGCCGUGCUCCUCAGCCUAGUGGUCUUCGGAGCGGCUCCAGCCGGUCAGAGGGAUAGAGCUCUCAGUCUGUGGCUGGACAUGGGACCCCCCAGAGGAGAGACCCCGUUUCCCUGCCUUCCAGCAGAAACUCAGAGCAUGCGGCUCGGUUGUGGACCUCCAGGCCGUGGACCGGUACCUCCUGUCAGAUCAGCGGCGGCAUUAGAUUAGAAAUAAAGUGCCUGAUAAGUGCAUGAUGCGCCUGAAUCAUCCCAAAACCAUCCCUCCCCGUCCUGGUCUGUGGAAAAAUUGCUUCCCACAAAAUCGGUCCCUGGUGCCUGAAAGGUUGGGGCCUGCUGCUCUAAAGGCAUAUCUGCGUGAUGGACCACGAUGCCGGGAGGAGUCUUCUUUGGGAGGGGCUCAUCAAGUGCUCCCCACAAACGGAAAGGCCCCAGAAGGUCACUGCGGGGACCUACAGGAAUUUUGUGUCCACCCGACUGGCCACGGAUGCCCAGGUUAAGCAGUUUCUGGGUCUGUGUGAGGGGGUUUCUGGUGAGCUCAGCAGUGGAAUGGGUGGUCUCAGUAACACAGGUGCCCCCCCGUGUGGGUGGGCCUCCCCAGGGUGGGUGCCCCCCAUCCCCCCCACGCCCCCCACCCCGUGCAGGUGGGCUCAUCCAUCCACUGAGGGUCUGGAUAGAACAGAAGGUGGAGGAAGGCAGGAUCUGCCUUUCUGCACCUGCCUCAGCGUUAAGCUGGUGUCAUCCCAUCUCCUGUCCCCGGGUUCUCAGGCCCCAAGUCUUGGGGUGACUCACACCACCUGCUUCCUGGGUCCCCAGGCUGCAAACAGCAGCUCGUGGGACUUCUCAGCCUCCGUCAUCACAGGCGCCAAGGCCUCAUAGUAAACCUCCCUGGGGGUGCACAGGCCCCUCGUCCGUGGCUCUAGAGACCUCUGACUGCUACAGAGGUUAAAAAGCUGACACUAAACUUCAACUGGAAGAACAAACACGAGCUCAUACCUGAGACGCCGUCCUGGGUCUUCUCACUCGGGAGUCGGGGUGACUACAGUGGCUGCCCGGCCCUGUCGUGGGUCAGCCGCAGGGGCGGGUGUAAACCUCGGGGCUGCUGACCAGAAGGCACAGGGGAGGAGGGCACCACAACUAGCAGGCUCAGGAGGAGGGGUGCUGUCCUAGCCAGUAUUUCAGGGUCUCGUGUGAUGGCCGUGACUAGAGCCACACCUGUCAUGGCAAGGGUCCAAGAGGCAACCGGUAGCCCAGAGCAGGCGGGAGGAUGGCUCUUCUCAAGGCUGUCUGCUAGACCAUCAGGUGUGCAAAACGCCAACGUGGGGACUUCCCUGGUGGGCCAGUGGCUAAGGCACCACGCUCCAGUGCAGUGGUUCGAUCCCUGGUCGGGGAACUAGAUCUCACACACGGCGACUAAGAGCUCCUAUACCGCAGUGAAGAUGCAACUAAGAUCUGCUGCAGCCAAAUAAAUAAAUAAACGUACAUAUAUAUAUAAUGUCAACGUGAAACCCAGAUGGACAACAAAGUAAAAAGCACUGAAUACAGCAGAGCAAGCUCUAGACUCGAGGGGACUCUCUGAGCAGAGAGACUCUGGAGGAAGUCGCUUGCGGGUAGCUGGGCAGUGCUUGUUUGUGGACCUGGAGAUGUGCACUGUCCCUGAAGCCAAAAUUCCGCGGUCAGCAAAGUCAAAAGGCAAACGGGAGAAGAACAUCUGUCAUGUAUAGGGCAGGCCCAGGGUGGUACCCUGGGUACAUAAUCGCCACCUACACCUACAAAUCGCCAUGCAGACAGAGAAGAUGUUCCAGAAGAUGGGAGCGGGUUGGCUAGCAUCCCUGGAAUCGAAGUUCCCGUACAGAGACGCCUGCUCUGCGCUGAGAGUUAAAGGAGCGGACCUUAGGACCCUGUGUUGGUGUUGGCAGCAAGUGGGUGCCCUGCCCCAGAGGGGCUGCAACGGCAGCUCUGGGGGGAACCCCUGGGGAGGGAGCAGGAGCCCGGGACGCUGCGAGUGGCACUGCCUUGCGGCCACCUAGGUGAGCGGUUCCUGGAUCACCUCUUACCUGUGGGGGUCUGAAUGCUGGGCACCUGGCCACUGGGGCUUCUGCGAGUGAAGCCUGGAGUCAAGUCCAGGGUGGCAGGGCCAGGCGAGGUCAGGCCAGCCACCGCGCAGCUAACCCCUGAACAUACAGCUGUGUGAAAUGGUCAGUUAAAACAUGGCUUAAAAGAGACUGCAUGAUACGAUCCUAUUUGGUUAACAAAACGUGUGUAAAUGCAUGUACAUGUCAAAUAUAUAUUUACAUGCAAGUGAUUAUACAUGUAAAAGACCUCUCAAUGUACAAGGAAAACAUGGAAGCUUAGAAGUGAAUCGAAGUGUUAAGAAAUUA